Long non-coding RNA from Oncorhynchus keta (chum salmon), 169 nucleotides. RefSeq lists it as uncharacterized. The record is from RefSeq and is a predicted model, not a curated record. The transcript is spliced from 3 exons. Lineage: Eukaryota; Metazoa; Chordata; Actinopteri; Salmoniformes; Salmonidae.
GUUAGAGGCAGGUAGCCUAGUGGUUAGAGGCAGGUAGCCUAGUGGUUAGAGGCAGGUAGCCUAGUGGUUAGAGGCAGGGUAGCCUAGUGGUUAGAGGCAGGGUAGCCUAGUGGUUAGAGGCAGGGUAGCCUAGUGGUUAGAGGCAGGUAGCCUAGUGGUUAGAGGCAGG